AUUGAACGCUGGCGGAAUGCUUUACACAUGCAAGUCGAACGGCAGCACGGACUUCGGUCUGGUGGCGAGUGGCGAACGGGUGAGUAAUAUAUCGGAACGUGCCCAGUCGUGGGGGAUAACGUAGCGAAAGCUACGCUAAUACCGCAUACGAUCUACGGAUGAAAGCGGGGGAUCGCAAGACCUCGCGCGAUUGGAGUGGCCGAUAUCAGAUUAGGUAGUUGGAGAGGUAAAGGCUCACCAAGCCGACGAUCUGUAGCUGGUCUGAGGGGACGACCAGCCACACUGGGACUGAGACACGGCCCAGACUCCUACGGGAGGCAGCAGUGGGGAAUUUUGGACAAUGGACGCAAGUCUGAUCCAGCCAUUCCGCGUGCAGGACGAAGGCCUUCGGGUUGUAAACUGCUUUUGUACAGAACGAAAAGGUCUCUAUUAAUACUAGGGGCUCAUGACGGUACUGUAAGAAUAAGCACCGGCUAACUACGUGCCAGCCGCCGCGGUAA
RNAcentral lists this ribosomal RNA (500 nucleotides) under uncultured bacterium. RNAcentral describes it as "partial 16S ribosomal RNA". It matches the Rfam family "Bacterial small subunit ribosomal RNA", at positions 30 to 523 of the family's 1533-position model. The record is from RNAcentral.